Podarcis lilfordi (Lilford's wall lizard) is the source of this 91-nucleotide non-coding RNA. NCBI's taxonomy places the organism in Eukaryota, Metazoa, Chordata, Lepidosauria, Squamata, Lacertidae. The record is from the annotation of a GenBank genome assembly.
UGCUCAUUUCCAGGUUCAACAAGACAGCUCCGCCAGUAGAACAUAAGACUCUUAAUCUAAGGGCCAUGGGUUUGAGCCCCAUAUGGGGCAA